This is a ribosomal RNA of 850 nucleotides. It matches the Rfam family "Eukaryotic large subunit ribosomal RNA", at positions 72 to 942 of the family's 3401-position model.
GGAUUGCCUCAGUAACGGCGAGUGAAGCGGCAACAGCUCAAAUUUGAAAUCUGGCCCCCUCGGGGUCCGAGUUGUAAUUUGGAGAAGAUGCUUCGGGUGCGGCCCCGGUCUAAGUUCCUUGGAACAGGACGUCACAGAGGGUGAGAAUCCCGUACGUGCCCGGUGGUCGCCCCCGUGUGAAGCUCUUUCGACGAGUCGAGUUGUUUGGGAAUGCAGCUCUAAAUGGGUGGUAUAUUUCAUCUAAAGCUAAAUAUUGGCCAGAGACCGAUAGCGCACAAGUAGAGUGAUCGAAAGAUGAAAAGCACUUUGGAAAGAGAGUUAAACAGUACGUGAAAUUGUUGAAAGGGAAGCGCUUGCAACCAGACUUGCGCGCGGCCGAUCAUCCGGUGUUCGCACCGGUGCACUCGACCGCGCGCAGGCCAGCAUCGGUUUGGGUGGCUGGACAAAGGCCUCGGGAAUGUGGCUCCCCUCGGGGAGUGUUAUAGCCCGAGGUGCAAUGCAGCCUACCCGGACCGAGGACCGCGCUUCGGCUAGGAUGCUGGCGUAAUGGUUGUAAGCGACCCGUCUUGAAACACGGACCAAGGAGUCUAACAUCUAUGCGAGUGUUUGGGUGUCAAACCCAUACGCGUAAUGAAAGUGAACGGAGGUGGGAACCCUUAAGGGUGCACCAUCGACCGAUCCUGAUGUCUUCGGAUGGAUUUGAGUAAGAGCAUAGCUGUUGGGACCCGAAAGAUGGUGAACUAUGCCUGAAUAGGGUGAAGCCAGAGGAAACUCUGGUGGAGGCUCGCAGCGGUUCUGACGUGCAAUCGAUCGUCAAUUUGGGCAUAGGGGCGAAAGACUAAUCGAACCA